GGAGAGGUUCCCGAGUGGCUAAAGGGGGCAGACUGUAAAUCUGCUGGCUCAGCCUACGUUGGUUCGAAUCCAACCCUCUCCACCA
RNAcentral lists this transfer RNA (85 nucleotides) under Zetaproteobacteria bacterium. Its description in RNAcentral is "tRNA-Tyr". It matches the Rfam family "tRNA". From Rfam's summary of the family: Transfer RNA (tRNA) molecules are approximately 80 nucleotides in length. Their secondary structure includes four short double-helical elements and three loops (D, anti-codon, and T loops). Lineage: Bacteria; Pseudomonadati; Pseudomonadota; Candidatius Mariprofundia. The record is from RNAcentral.